Long non-coding RNA from Thalassophryne amazonica, 95 nucleotides. RefSeq lists it as uncharacterized. NCBI's taxonomy places the organism in Eukaryota, Metazoa, Chordata, Actinopteri, Batrachoidiformes, Batrachoididae. The record is from RefSeq and is a predicted model, not a curated record. The transcript has 3 exons.
GUGCUCUAAAAUCUCCUGGUAGAUAGCUGUGUUGACUUUGGACUUGAUAAAACACAGUGGAUUAACACCAGCAGAUGACGUCAUCACUUACUGUG